This 522-nucleotide long non-coding RNA is filed under the name Mus caroli (Ryukyu mouse). RNAcentral's name for it is "CHD2 adjacent suppressive regulatory RNA (MGP_CAROLIEiJ_G0013799.1)". Lineage: Eukaryota; Metazoa; Chordata; Mammalia; Rodentia; Muridae. The record is from RNAcentral.
GCGCGGGCGGGAGGGGCGGCGGGUGGCUGCCGGCUGGUUCUGCACACGCAGCCCCGGGCACUGCCGCGGAGGGCCGAUGCCACCGGAGCACGGGGUCGGGCCACCGCGUUCCCGCUGCAUACCCAGCCGGGCGCCGCGCUGCGGUCCAGCCUGCGGGGAGAGGGCGGCGGCCGCGCCGUGGAACCCCUGCUUGCUCUGGUAACUUACAAGAUGAUAAUUAAUGUGGUUGCCGAUGAUUCUGAAUAAAUACAGCUUUUAUCUCAGGUGUGCCAUUUUGAAGACUGAGACCAUAGAGUUUUAAGAAUAAAGGAGAGAGCCCUUGGGAAAUUCUGUAUUAUAUAUAGCAAAAAUGUGAAUCCUCAGAUGGAAUGAAAGGCCUGUACCAUAGACAUCUAAGCAUUUACACCCCGCUUGAAGAGUUUGAAAUGGACUUUACCACUGAGAAAUCAAGAUGGCAGCCCAUUAUGGGGAAUUGAGGAAAAUGGAUUAAUGCAAGAAUGCUGUAAUAUUAUACAACCAACA